AGGACGAACGCUGGCGGCGUGCUUAACACAUGCAAGUCGAGCGGAAAGGCCCUUCGGGGUACUCGAGCGGCGAACGGGUGAGUAACACGUGAGUAAUCUGCCCCUAGCUCUGGGAUAGCUCCGGGAAACCGGGAUUAAUACUGGAUACGACCACCUUAGACAUCUUUUGUGGUGGAAAGAAUUUCGGCUAGGGAUGAGCUCGCGGCCUAUCAGCUUGUUGGUGGGGUAACGGCCUACCAAGGCGACGACGGGUAGCCGGCCUGAGAGGGCGACCGGCCACACUGGGACUGAGACACGGCCCAGACUCCUACGGGAGGCAGCAGUGGGGAAUAUUGCGCAAUGGGCGAAAGCCUGACGCAGCGACGCCGCGUGGGGGAUGAAGGCCUUCGGGUUGUAAACCCUUUCAGCAGGGACGAAGCGAAAGUGACGGUACCUGCAGAAGAAGCGCCGGCACUACGCGCCAGCAGCCGC
RNAcentral lists this ribosomal RNA (471 nucleotides) under uncultured bacterium. RNAcentral's name for it is "SSU rRNA". It matches the Rfam family "Bacterial small subunit ribosomal RNA", at positions 26 to 518 of the family's 1533-position model. The record is from RNAcentral.